GACGAACGCUGGCGGCGUGCUUAACACAUGCAAGUCGAACGGAAAGGCCCUGCUUUUGUGGGGUGCUCGAGUGGCGAACGGGUGAGUAACACGUGAGUAACCUGCCCUUUACUUUGGGAUAACUUCAGGAAACUGGGGCUAAUACCGGAUAGGAGCUCCUGCUGCAUGGUGGGGGUUGGAAAGUUUCGGCGGUUGGGGAUGGACUCGCGGCUUAUCAGCUUGUUGGUGGGGUAGUGGCUUACCAAGGCUUUGACGGGUAGCCGGCCUGAGAGGGUGACCGGCCACAUUGGGACUGAGAUACGGCCCAGACUCCUACGGGAGGCAGCAGUGGGGAAUAGUGCACAAUGGGCGGAAGCCUGAUGCAGCAACGCCGCGUGCGGGAUGACGGCCUUCGGGUUGUAAACCGCUUUCGCCUGUGACGAAGCGUGAGUGACGGUAAUGGGUAAAGAAGCACCGGCUAACUACGUG
This 468-nucleotide ribosomal RNA is filed under the name uncultured bacterium. RNAcentral describes it as "partial 16S ribosomal RNA". It matches the Rfam family "Bacterial small subunit ribosomal RNA", at positions 28 to 507 of the family's 1533-position model. The record is from RNAcentral.